This 307-nucleotide ribosomal RNA is filed under the name Staphylococcus cohnii. RNAcentral's name for it is "bacterial SSU rRNA". It matches the Rfam family "Bacterial small subunit ribosomal RNA", at positions 1 to 297 of the family's 1533-position model. The record is from RNAcentral. Lineage: Bacteria; Bacillati; Bacillota; Bacilli; Caryophanales; Staphylococcaceae.
UUUAUGGAGAGUUUGAUCCUGGCUCAGGAUGAACGCUGGCGGCGUGCCUAAUACAUGCAAGUCGAGCGAACAGAUAAGGAGCUUGCUCCUUUGACGUUAGCGGCGGACGGGUGAGUAACACGUGGGUAACCUACCUAUAAGACUGGAAUAACUCCGGGAAACCGGGGCUAAUGCCGGAUAACAUUUAGAACCGCAUGGUUCUAAAGUGAAAGAUGGUUUUGCUAUCACUUAUAGAUGGACCCGCGCCGUAUUAGCUAGUUGGUAAGGUAACGGCUUACCAAGGCAACGAUACGUAGCCGACCUGAGA